Molecule: long non-coding RNA, 1312 nt
Organism: Xiphophorus couchianus (Monterrey platyfish)
Lineage: Eukaryota; Metazoa; Chordata; Actinopteri; Cyprinodontiformes; Poeciliidae
Exons: 2
Source: RefSeq, a predicted model, not a curated record
CUUACUCACACACAGUCGUGUUUUCCAUUGACUUCCAUUCAUUUCUACAGCCUAACCACCUUAGCCCUGACCUCUAACCCUAAAGCACUGGUCCCUACAACCCACACUGUAGACAGAGAUGUUCCCACCAGGAUAUAAAGACCUGGUUCACACACACAGUGUGUUUAGUGUAGAAGCUGAGCUCUGAUUUGCUCGUUGUCCUUAGUCACAAAGGAUUAUUAUGGUUAUUAUGGGAUGUUUGUGAAAUUUGUCUACAUUUGCAGACUCAUUUGUUUCCAUGGUAACCAUGUUUAACUGUAAUCAUGAAGUCAGUAUGUUAUGCUGGCGUUAUUGUGGUUCCAAUUGGGACUUUACUGCCCCCACUGGACACUUGGAGAAGUUUCUGUCUAAACUUAAAACUUUAUUUUCCAUCUAAAGUUUAACAUUGACUUAAACUCAGGUGAAAUCUACUGAUUGAGUCAUGUGACUAGUGAGGGAUUUUGGGUAAUGAAGGCGCCAGCAGAACAAUACACAUUUCUAGUGCAGAAAACUGUAACAGACGCCGACAUCGGAAGUAGAGACAGAGGAACGCUGACUGGCUCAGGAUCGCUCCAGGUUUUAUGUUAGAGGAAACAGGAAGAAGAUUUGAUGAUCUGAAUUUUAAGCUGUUAAAGAUUCUGCUGAUCUUUAAUAGAUCAGCAGAAUCUGAUCAGAUCAGAUCUGAUGAUCUGAUCUAAAGGAGCUGUAGACGUUACCAGGAUGGACAGAAACAAAUCUUUACCAGAAAUAUGUCAGACAUAUUGAUCGCUUACAAAUAAACAGUUAGCAUAAUAAAAUAAAAAGGUCUCGUUUCAGAUCAGUGGCUGCUGUUGUAAACAAUAUAGCUUUAUUUUGUUUCCCUUUUAUAUCAAUAUUUCCCACUCAGUGUUUGUCAUGAACAUCUGGCUAACUUUCAGAGAAAAGUAUAAAAUAAACGAGUAAAAGCCACUUGGUCACUUGAAACCCUUCAGAUAGAGGUUUGAUCCAUGAGGUUUAAAAUAUCUGCAUUGUUUUCCUGAAGGUAGAAUAAAUGUUUCUGGGCUAGAGGUCAGGGAAAUGCAUUAAAAUCAUCUAAACAACUCAGACUUGUCAUAACUCUGUGAUUCCUGGAUGUUUUUCUGCUCUGCAGGCAGAAACCAGUCUGCUGCAGAGCCCCUCCCCCACCUGUUGCUGGGAGGGGCAUUAACCUGGGACAAAUUCAUCAUCACAUUUAAUGAUCUGAUGUUUAAACUGUUUUCUCUAUUUGUUCAGUGACUGUAUGGAGAUCAAUAACUGAUUAAAUGUUAAUAACUGA